This 509-nucleotide ribosomal RNA is filed under the name uncultured bacterium. RNAcentral describes it as "bacterial SSU rRNA". It matches the Rfam family "Bacterial small subunit ribosomal RNA", at positions 15 to 518 of the family's 1533-position model. The record is from RNAcentral.
GAUUAUGGCUCAGGAUGAACGCUAGCGACAGGCUUAACACAUGCAAGUCGAGGGCAGCAUAAAAGUAGCAAUACUUGGUGGCGACCGGCGCACGGGUGAGUAACGCGUAUGCAACCUACCUAUCAGAGGGGAAUAACCCGGCGAAAGUCGGACUAAUACCGCAUAAAACAGGGGCACCGCAUGGUGAUAUUUGUUAAAGAAAUUCGCUGAUAGGUGGGCAUGCGUUCCAUUAGGUAGUUGGUGAGGUAACGGCUCACCAAGCCGACGAUGGAUAGGGGAACUGAGAGGUUGGUCCCCCACACUGGUACUGAGACACGGACCAGACUCCUACGGGAGGCAGCAGUGAGGAAUAUUGGUCAAUGGGCGGGAGCCUGAACCAGCCAAGUCGCGUGAAGGAAGAAGGAUCUAUGGUUCGUAAACUUCUUUUGCAGGGGAAUAAAGUGCAGGACGUGUCCUGUUUUGUAUGUACCCUGAGAAUAGGGAUCGGCUAACUCCGUGCCAGCCGCGGC